ACGAACGCUGGCGGCGUGCUUAACACAUGCCAGUCGAACGGAAAGGCCCUGCUUUUGUGGGGUGCUCGAGUGGCGAACGGGUGAGUAACACGUGAGUAACCUGCCCUUGACUUUGGGAUAACUUCAGGAAACUGGGGCUAAUACCGGAUAGGAGCUCCUGCUGCAUGGUGGGGGUUGGAAAGUUUCGGCGGUUGGGGAUGGACUCGCGGCUUAUCAGCUUGUUGGUGGGGUAGUGGCUUACCAAGGCUUUGACGGGUAGCCGGCCUGAGAGGGUGACCGGCCACAUUGGGACUGAGAUACGGCCCAGACUCCUACGGGAGGCAGCAGUGGGGAAUAUUGCACAAUGGGCGGAAGCCUGAUGCAGCAACGCCGCGUACGGGAUGACGGCCUUCGGGUUGUAAACCGCUUUCGCCUGUGACGAAGCGUGAGUGACGGUAAUGGGUAAAGAAGCACCGGCUAACUACGUG
RNAcentral lists this ribosomal RNA (467 nucleotides) under uncultured bacterium. RNAcentral describes it as "partial 16S ribosomal RNA". It matches the Rfam family "Bacterial small subunit ribosomal RNA", at positions 29 to 507 of the family's 1533-position model. The record is from RNAcentral.